GGAGGGAUGGCAGAGUGGUAAUGCAGCGGAUUGCUAAUCCGUCUACCCGAUAGGGUAGCGGGGGUUCGAGUCCCCCUCCCUCCGCCA
Molecule: transfer RNA, 87 nt
Filed under: Rhodospirillaceae bacterium
Lineage: Bacteria; Pseudomonadati; Pseudomonadota; Alphaproteobacteria; Rhodospirillales; Rhodospirillaceae
Description: tRNA-Ser
Rfam family: tRNA
About the family: Transfer RNA (tRNA) molecules are approximately 80 nucleotides in length. Their secondary structure includes four short double-helical elements and three loops (D, anti-codon, and T loops).
Source: RNAcentral